RNAcentral lists this long non-coding RNA (481 nucleotides) under Capsicum annuum. RNAcentral's name for it is "long non-coding RNA (CANN_LNC014176)". The record is from RNAcentral. Lineage: Eukaryota; Viridiplantae; Streptophyta; Magnoliopsida; Solanales; Solanaceae.
GCUGGGGAGUCCAAUGCUCCGCCCUAGUCUCCGCAGGUCAAUACUGUUGCUGAUUUUUUGUGCAAGAUAGGUACCAAGCUAACAAUGCACAACCAAUUUCAAGUAAUGACAACCCUAACAACUCAAGUCUUGCCACUUAAUCAAACUGAUCAACAAGGAAUCUCUUCUACAAAGCUAGUAUCUAGAGCUAUUUGUAAUAAGUUAGCUAGUUAUGGUAAUCUAUCUGUAUUAUCUAGUGCUCAACACACUAUUAUUAUCUCUGUGCCUGUUAUGACUUAGUAUUAUAUAUAUAAAAAUUCCAGUUAUCCGAAAAAAAAGAACAGUUCAUUAAGAAAUAUCUUUCUGUGAGAUUACAUACAUUCUUUAUUUCCUUCACACCUUAUAACUUUAAAAACAAAUCAAACGCAGCUGCGCUUCUCUUUUGCUGAGCUGCAGGGAUGCUUUUCUUGUUAAUUUGGAGCUUUUAAGGGGAUAAUGAAGC